ACAGUAGUCUGCCUGCUGAGUAUCUUCUUCAAAUGAUAACCCCACAUUUUAAAAGCAGAAAUUAUUUUAAUCAAAGUUUUAUAACUGUAUAUUUUGGAGGGCUAAAAAAACAUGACCACAAAUAUGUCUUGUUAGAGAAUUAUGUCAUCUAGAGUCUAAAGCAUAAAUAUAAAUUAAUAAUACCCAAUCUUUUACUGGGUUCUAGAGCUAAGCUACUGUGCUAAGACUAUCUCAUAUUUUAUGCCACAUGAGUUUUCUGGCUGUAGCAGUAUUUCAUGCCAAAAUACCAA
Molecule: long non-coding RNA, 290 nt
Filed under: Bos taurus (domestic cattle)
Lineage: Eukaryota; Metazoa; Chordata; Mammalia; Artiodactyla; Bovidae
Description: long non-coding RNA NONBTAT002653
Source: RNAcentral